UCUAAACCAUUCUAUACAAUUCCAAAACAUACCAUCAAUUCCAUACCAUUCCAAUUUUCAUACAAUUCAUGUCAUUUAAAACAAAACUAAACGAAAAGAUAAAUAAAGAGGAACCUAUUUGUUAGUGUCGGUCAUGCUCUUAGUCGCGCUAUUCGUCCCACUUUUAGUCGGACUUUUAGUCGCUUUUUUGCCAACAUUUUCG
This 202-nucleotide long non-coding RNA is filed under the name Zostera marina. RNAcentral's name for it is "long non-coding RNA (ZMAR_LNC000669)". The record is from RNAcentral. Lineage: Eukaryota; Viridiplantae; Streptophyta; Magnoliopsida; Alismatales; Zosteraceae.